AACGUAGGGCGCGAGCGUUAUCCGGAUUCACUGGGCGUAAAGCGCGUUGAGGCGGCUCCGUAAGUUGGGCGUGAAAGCCCCGUGCCUAACCCGGGGAGGCCGUCCAAUACUGCGGGGCUUGAGGGCAGCAGAGGGAGGUGGAAUUCCCGGUGUAGUGGUGAAAUGCGUAGAUAUCGGGAGGAACCCCCGUGGCGAAGGCGGCCUCCUGGGCUGCUCCUGACGCUGAAGGCGAAAGCCAGGGGAGCGAACGGG
This 252-nucleotide ribosomal RNA is filed under the name uncultured bacterium. RNAcentral's name for it is "partial 16S ribosomal RNA". It matches the Rfam family "Bacterial small subunit ribosomal RNA", at positions 524 to 776 of the family's 1533-position model. The record is from RNAcentral.